GUCCACGCCGUAAACGAUGGAUACUAGCUGUUGGGCGCAAGUUCAGUGGCUAAGCGAAAGUGAUAAGUAUCCCACCUUGGGAGUACGUUCGCAAGAAUGAAACUCAAAGGAAUUGACGGGGGCCCGCACAAGCGGUGGAGCAUGUGGUUUAAUUCGAUGAUACGCGAGGAACCUUACCAAGGCUUAAAUGUAGAUUGACCGUUUUGGAAACAGAACUUUCGCAAGACAAUUUACAAGGUGCUGCAUGGUUGUCGU
Molecule: ribosomal RNA, 255 nt
Filed under: uncultured bacterium
Lineage: Bacteria
Description: partial 16S ribosomal RNA
Rfam family: Bacterial small subunit ribosomal RNA
Source: RNAcentral